This 681-nucleotide ribosomal RNA is filed under the name uncultured bacterium. RNAcentral's name for it is "bacterial SSU rRNA". It matches the Rfam family "Bacterial small subunit ribosomal RNA", at positions 8 to 698 of the family's 1533-position model. The record is from RNAcentral.
AGAGUUUGAUCCUGGCUCAGACGAACGCUGGCGGCGUGCUUAACACAUGCAAGUCGAGCGGUAAGGCCCUUUCGGGGGUACACGAGCGGCGAACGGGUGAGUAACACGUGGGUAACCUGCCCUCAGCUCUGGGAUAAGCCCGGGAAACUGGGUCUAAUACCGGAUAUGACUCCGCAUCGCAUGGUGUGGGGUGGAAAGCCUUGUGCGGCUGAGGAUGGGCCCGCGGCCUAUCAGCUUGUUGGCGGGGUAGUGGCCUACCAAGGCGACGACGGGUAGCCGGCCUGAGAGGGCGACCGGCCACACUGGGACUGAGACACGGCCCAGACUCCUACGGGAGGCAGCAGUGGGGAAUAUUGCGCAAUGGGCGAAAGCCUGACGCAGCGACGCCGCGUGAGGGAUGACGGCCUUCGGGUUGUAAACCUCUUUCAGCUCCGACGAAGCCUUCGGGUGACGGUAGGGGCAGAAGAAGCACCGGCCAACUACGUGCCAGCAGCCGCGGUAAUACGUAGGGUGCAAGCGUUGUCCGGAAUUAUUGGGCGUAAAGAGCUCGUAGGCGGUUUGUCGCGUCGACUGUGAAAACUCAGGGGGCUCAACUCCGAGCUUGCANGUUGAUACGGGCAGACUAAGUUCGGGCAGGGGGAGACUGGAAUUCCUGUGUACGGUUGAAAUACGGCAGAUNUC